Long non-coding RNA from Chelonia mydas (Green sea turtle), 971 nucleotides. RefSeq lists it as uncharacterized. The transcript is spliced from 4 exons. NCBI's taxonomy places the organism in Eukaryota, Metazoa, Chordata, Testudines, Cheloniidae. The record is from RefSeq and is a predicted model, not a curated record.
CAAAGCGGCUCCGGCGGCGGCUGGGUGCUGGGGUCGCACCCCGGGGCCCCGGACCGGCCUAGCUCGUGCAUCUGGCGCACGGGGCUCAGUCCCCAGCCGGACUGACCCAGGCAGCACCGAGCAUGGCCCCGAAAACCGAACGGGUGGAUCCGGAUCCUGUGCUCGGUGCUGGCUGUGGCUGCUGCCGAACAGGACUGAGUAUCACUGGGUCCGGAUCCUGCACUCGGUUCUGACAGCGGCAAAGGGGUUCUCCGUCCCUUGACCCGAACCCUCUUAGACCUGGUUCUGCUUGGUGGAUGGGGCUGCCUCCUGCCUCUCCAGGACCAGCUUUUUUGGAGGGUGUCUCCCCCUCCCAGCCAAGCUGGGGUCUGUGUCCAACUCAGAGGGGUGCAUCGCACUGCACCCUGUUGCACCAACGGCCAGAAAUACCUCUCAACUCCCAGAGGUGCAGCUGGGGGUGGAGGAGAUCAACCCCGGGCCAUGUGCAGGAUUGGAUCAGACUUUUGCAAGUGGGUGCGCUGCAGAUGGCUGAGGCGACCCCAGCACGUACUGCCCCGUUUCCGGCGAUGCAUUCUACAGGAAUCGGCUCUUCCUUUGAAGCCAUGGUACCUCCCCUUCUGGACAUCAGGAAGAGAUGCACCACUUUUUCUUCAGCUGUUGACAUCAAACCUCUUUGCCCUUGAUUGGGGACAUAACCGCCUUGUGUAGGACCCACGAUAUUGCUGAAUGACACGAAUGCACAGAAGCAUAAAAUAAGACCGAGACUCAGGGGUUGGCUUCUGGCGAUCUAGCCAUGGCAGCAUGAAAAAUGAAGAGGAAAGCGAUAAGAAACUAAUAAUUUAUGUUCCAAGCACAGACUCACACCAGUGUGGAGGGAAAUUUGUGCCAAUAACUCCUACUAACUCAGAAAGGCAUGCAAUCUUUUAUUGCACAAAUUAUUAACGACCAGAAAAUAAAUGACUCUGUAAUCA